RNAcentral lists this long non-coding RNA (584 nucleotides) under Callithrix jacchus (white-tufted-ear marmoset). Its description in RNAcentral is "lncRNA (ENSCJAG00000082430.1)". The record is from RNAcentral. Lineage: Eukaryota; Metazoa; Chordata; Mammalia; Primates; Cebidae.
GCGUCUGAGGAGGCGGGAGCCUGCGUUCCUACCUGGUUCGCCUGGGCGCGCAGGGGCUCCGCGGGGGCCGCAGCUCCUAGGGGCGCUGGAGGAGUGAGCCUGAGACCGCGCGGCGGCGACCACGGCCGGAGGAGGAAGCCGCGAGUCUGACUGGGACGCGAGGACUGUGAAGAAGGCAUCUCCCAUGGAGAAAGCUGCCAGUGGCUGAAAACACGGAAGAAAAACAUCUUCGCCUGGGGAGGACGCCAUUGCUAGUGCCAUUACGGUCAACCGUUGGAACAAGAUAAACGGCACGCCCAAUCUAGUGAGGAUUUUGGACACGGGGACUCCGACUGGGACCCCACCUAAAACCCGAUCUGCGUUGCCGCCUCGGCGGGGCCUCGCUGUCUUACUGAGCACACAAACCAAGAGAGUCGUUUCUGUGCAGCACUGACAUUCCCAGGGGCACCACCUGCCCACCCACCCUGAGCAUCCCUCUGCUCAGCCUGCUGGAGCCAGGCUUUCCAGGUCAUGCAGUCUUGGACAGGUCAAGUGGGGCAAAGGCAAUGCCAAGGAAGAUGCUGUGUCCCUUCUGACAGGUAAGA